UUCAAUAACAUAAAAUAUAACAUCUGCACAUAAAUCGUCCUACUAUAACAACAACUUGAUCCAAACAAAACACAUAACCAAUAAACAUCAAAUUGUCACCUAAAGCAUCCAACUGCUUCUUCCCCGAACCCGGAGGCCGUCCUCUUUGUUUCUUAGCACCCGAAUCCGCAUUCGGGUUGCCACCACCACCAUUAGAAUCCUCCAAACGUCCACCACCACCACCACCACCGCCACCAGUAACCGGCGCCGGAGCUAACCGAAGAGCAAUGUUACCAUCAGGACCCGGCGAAUACUUCCUGGGCCGGCCUCUCUUCUUCCUCACCGGCUCAAUGUUAAACCCACCGGGAGGAUCCGACCCGCCUCCGUACUGACCCGACCCGUCAAGCCCGAACCGUUCGUGAGUUACGAUGCUGUUAUUGCUCGCCGGAGCAGCUGUAGAACUGUUGGGCAUCUGGUGUCGGUGUUGGUGGGUGGUGUAACUGUUCGGUGGCAUAAUCAUCCUCCCCGGCGGCAGGUGGUGGUGGUGAACCUGGUGGUGGUGGGGUUGAUGCCGUGGCAGUGACGAUGGUUGAUGUGGAUUGUUUUGGUCUAGUUGAAGUUGAAAAUGGGAUUUAAGGGUGAAGGGAAUUAGGGUUUUGAAGAAGAGAUUACAGGUAGGAAGGUGAAGGUGGUGUAGAGAGGGGGUGACACCUGGUGUAGUGAUCAUGGUCAAAUCUGCUUACACAUUUCGUCGCCAAUUUUGAAUCUUCUUCUCUCAACUGUAUCUACUCUUUAAAAAUCAAUUCGAAUUUUGAUUCCAAAAUAUGCGACAAAAUAAGUUAACAAUGGAUAUAGAUUAUAGGGAUUGCAAUCAAAUUUGAACUCUU
Molecule: long non-coding RNA, 866 nt
Filed under: Helianthus annuus (common sunflower)
Lineage: Eukaryota; Viridiplantae; Streptophyta; Magnoliopsida; Asterales; Asteraceae
Description: hypothetical non coding rna
Source: RNAcentral